UGCGCAGGCGGAAGAUUAAGUCAGUGGUGAAAUCUCACAGCUCAAUUGUGAAACUGCCAUUGAUACUGAUUUUCUUGAAUGCGGUUGAGGUAGGCGGAAUACGUUAUGUAGCGGUGAAAUGCUUAGAUAUAACGUAGAACACCAAUUGCGAAGGCAGCUUACUAAGCCGUUAUUGACGCUGAGGCACGAAAGCGUGGGGAGCGAACAGGAUUAGAUACCCUGGUAGUCC
Molecule: ribosomal RNA, 229 nt
Filed under: uncultured bacterium
Lineage: Bacteria
Description: partial 16S ribosomal RNA
Rfam family: Bacterial small subunit ribosomal RNA
Source: RNAcentral